This 207-nucleotide long non-coding RNA is filed under the name Mytilus galloprovincialis (Mediterranean mussel). The record is from RNAcentral. Lineage: Eukaryota; Metazoa; Mollusca; Bivalvia; Mytilida; Mytilidae.
UCGUUCUUAAGUUGUACUGUUAUACCACUGUCCCAGGUUAGGGGGAGGGUUGGGAUCCCGCUAACAUGUUUAACCCCGCCACAUUAUUUAUGUAUGUGCCUGUCCCAAGUCAGGAGCCUGUAAUUCAGUGGUUGUCGUUUGUUUAUGUGUUACAUAUUUGUUUUUCGUUCAUUUUUUUUACAUACAUAAGGCCGUUAGUUUUCUCGU